AAAAAUUUAAACAAAUAAUAUUAUCUACACUAGGGGAAGGGGUGGUUUAGUCUCAUAAUGAGCUAGCAAUAAUAUGGUUCAAACUCACAUUUGGUGAGAAUCGAAUCUAAGAUCUCUUACUUAUAAUUGAAGAUGAAUACCACUAUAUCGUAGUACUAAGUGGCUCAAAACUUUUAAUUAACAAAAAAAAUCAUCUAUUAACUUUAUUUAAUAAAAAAGAGCUUAAACUUUGGUAACAAUAGUUCAAAUUUUAACGAAAAUAACAAAAGUUUUACAUAAUAAUGAAAAUAAAAAAUAAUAAAAAAUAAAAAACCAACAAAUACUGAUGUGUGAGACCACGCAUCACAUCACACAUAUACACACAGUCUCCCUCACUUAACCAUUCAACCUUUUUUUUUUCUCUCUCUCUCUCCCUCUUUCACAUAUUCCCAUCAAUUUUUUGCUUUCCUUUCACCUCAUCCAUUCACAUCAACUUUUUUUCAUUUUCUUUUCACCUCUCCUCACCCUUCUCUCUCUUUUCACCUCACUCCAUAAACAAUUUAUUUUAUUUGUUUAUUUGACUAUUCUUUCAAUUUUUUUAGAAUCAAUUAAAUAAUAAUAUUACAAGAUCAAAAAUAAAGGAAAUUCAUUAUUUAGUUUUAUGAACACUAAUACUGUCACUGUUUCUUAAACAUAACAUUGACUGCUUCUUAAAUUUGAACACUAUUUCUUAAACUGAACAUUGACUACUUCUUACACCGAACAUUAUUUCUUAAACUGAACAUUGACUACUUCUUAAACUAAACACUAACUAUUUCUUAAAAGAAACACUAAUAUUAUCACUACUUCUUAAACUGAAUACUGACUAUUUCGUAAACUGAACACUAACUAUUUCUUAAACUGAACGCUAGUACUAUUACUAUUUCAUAAACUAAACACUGACUAUUUUUUAAAUCGAACACCUUGUAAACUAAACACUGAUUAUUUCUUAAAUCUAACACUAGUACUAUCACUAUUUCGUAAACUAAAUAUAUUAAACCAAGUAAUAGUACUAUCACUAUUUCGUAAACUAAGCACUAACUAUUUCUUAAACCAAACACUAGUAUUAUCACUAUUUUGUAAACUAGUACUGUCAUUAUUUCGUUAACUAAACAUUGAUUAUUUCUUAAAAUCGAACACUAGCACUAUCAUUGUUUUUUUAAACUGAACACCGACUAUUUUAUAAAUUGAACACUAAAAGGUUCAAAAUUUGAAACUCUCUUCUCAUUAUCAUAUGAAUCACUGACAAUAAUAUUUAUAUUCUAAAAGAGUUAGAAUAAUGACUUUCUGUUUGGACCCGAUUUUACACUAUCGGCUCGUGCAAUCAAGGCCGUUGAUGAACAUAGCUCGCAAUUGUUGGAUGGCAAAAUAGUUAAGAUAAUUAUUAUUGAAGGAUAUAUUGUGGUUUUAAUCAUGAUAUUAUCUUUUGAUGGUGAAUUAUCUUGAUACUUUCUUGUACAAGAUAAAUGAGAUGCAAACUAUAUCUCAAGCUUUGAGACUCUUAUCUGGUUAAACAACAAUUUGCAUGCAAAUUAAAUAUUUGUCAGAUAAGAGAACAAAGAGGUACAGAUGAGAUUAAAUGGGUGUUUGACUAAUGACGUGCAAGAGUUGGAUGGCAUAUGCUUUUGUCUUACCAUGAAGUCUGUCAAAUGAUAAGUUUGAUGGAAGAUGGUCUUUAAAGUAUCAGAUUAUAUUACGACUAAAUGUAAUUUAUUAUGCAUGCAUGGUUGUACCUGGACCAACAUGGUGGAAAAAGAGAAGCUUUAGUUGGAAUAUGAUGCAUUCGUUUGGUCAGGCCAUGCAUGUGGAAAAGAUAUCUUUAUCUUUUCAAGGAAAAUUGGGGGAUAUUGGAUGGCUAAGGCGGUUCCACACAAUCUAAUGGUUCAGAGUCAACAUAGCAGGUGAUAUUCUACCAAGUUAGAGAGGCGAUUGGACUAUACAAAGUUAUCAGGCCGGGCUAAGCAAAAUACAACCAUUAUAAAUACAGAGUCGUAGACAACAUUAAGGCGCCCCUCCAAUUCAACACAAUAACUGCCUUGCGCAAACUCUUGCUCUACGCGAAACUUUUCCACAUCCUUGAGAUUUUUAUUUUCUUUUCGCCAACACAUCUUCAGUUUGGAUAAACAACAUUGUGAAAGCAACCGGUGACAUCUUCAAUUUGGAUAAACAACAUUGUUGUCGUAAAAUCAGUCGAUCGUGGAGCACCUUCAAUUUGGAUAAACAGCAUUGCGUCUCGACCGACUGAUUACCUACCUAAGUCUUGAUCGAUGAGGGUUUUCGAAUCCUUGUUGGUAUAGGUCAUUUCAUUAGCCUUCUUGGCGAAACAGGGUGUUACAAAUUACUAGGCUUGGCAUUUUGAACGCCGAGUUGUUUUAUGAUUGGAUACUCAUAAGUGGGAUUUAGAUUUUGACAUUCUGACGGUCGAACUAUAUUUACUAUUAAGACGCACAUUUGCUUUAAGUACUUAUGCCCAUAUAGUUUAGUGUUGAUUUGGCAUGCUUAUACUCUUAGGAAUAUAAUCAUUAUGAUCGAAUCUGGCGCCGACGAUUUAUGAACUUCACAAAACUAGUAACCUUGUCUUCAGGCUCUAGAACCCGAAAGCCAAGACGUGUUCCUUCCUCAGCCACAGUUGCAAGAUCAAGAAGUCAGCAGUACGCCCAACUCCCCGGCCGAGCUCAGUCGACAAGUUGGCACGCCCCGCACACAAUCGAAUAACAUAGUUAGCUUAUUAAUUGCUUGGCUUGCGCGCCACAUAGACUUGGUAGUUUUAGGGUCAACACUUUCACAUUCAUAUUUGUUCUUUGACAUUUCUUCGAACAAUUUAUUUGACUUUCCUUUAAUUUAUUCAAUACAAAAUUAACAACAAAAGCAUAAAUGAAAGAUCAUAAAAGCUAAUGUGCUUUCAUUGAGGAUCAUAAUCUAAUAUUUUUUAUUUUAAAGUUUUAGCUGGUUAGAAUUAAAAUUAAUAAAUAAUUCCAUAAUUUGAACAUGGGGUGAUGAUAAGAUGCUACCCCACGUGUAAGGCUAAGCAAAUCUCUCUCUCUCUCUCUCUCUCUCUCUCUCUCUAAUUUUUUUUAGAGUUUGUUGAUGUUAGUUGAAUGGAUUUGGUUGUCAUUCUCUUCUUUCUACCCUCAUAGUCUCACUCUCUGAACUUUUUCAUUCCCGAUGAAAUAUUUAAAAAGUAAUUUAUGUGUUGCUUUUGCAUUGUUGGUUUUAUGUUGAAUUGGUAGAUGUUUGCUUUCGCACUGCUCGCGUGCACACGCACUUUGGGUUGAAUAAGUUUUUUUUAUUUUUUGUUUUUUAUCUCUUGUCCUUGUUGGAAAUGUGCCCUAAAGCCAAUCAUGUGAUGAUACUUUACGGACAUUUCACAUGUUAAACUA
RNAcentral lists this long non-coding RNA (3398 nucleotides) under Malus domestica (apple). RNAcentral describes it as "long non-coding RNA (MDOM_LNC004080)". The record is from RNAcentral. Lineage: Eukaryota; Viridiplantae; Streptophyta; Magnoliopsida; Rosales; Rosaceae.